CAGGUGGGAAAAGAAAGGAAGAGAGAGGCUGGCAAGAUCUGGACUCACUGGAUAGUAAUUAUAUUCCCCACAAUCCUCUUAGGGACCAAAAGCCCCACAGUUACAGUACAGUAUGCUGGCAAAGUCAGUCAGUAAGCUUUUAAAUGCUUACUAUGUUCCAGGUCCUGUGCUAUGGUGGGGAAGAUAUGAAGGCCAUACCCAGGAUUAAGGUUCAAAAUGGGGAGAAAAGAGGGUUAAACUUGGUUUUGGCUCUGCUUCCCAACAGGGUGGCAGUAAGAACGCUGAAAGGGGUGAGUCGCAGAGUUUACUGAGUCUAAUUCUACAAGAGAAAUGCUUGGGCUUUUUUUCCCUUUGGAGAGAAAACCUGUGGUAGGCUGGUGCCCCAUGAAGCCCAGAACCCUGGGAAGUUAAUACUGAAGAAAACCACAACCAGCUAACUAGAAUCUGCCUUUUGGCUUUCAGUCUCCCCACCUUAGUAGUGGGUCAAGAAAAUGGUACAGGGCUAGCAUGCCACUUUUCCUCUUGAAAGUACAGACAGAGGACACUAGGGCAUGGGCAGAGAAAUUGAUAUUUUGGGGUUACCACCCUCAUAUGGAACCAUCAAUGUCAACAAAAACAAUGUACAGCCGUUUAAGUGGAAUAGCCCUGAAAUUGUUUUAAGGGACCUUAAAAAGGCUGGUUUUUCCAAUACUGGAAGGUGUAAUAAGGAGAUUGCUAUACCUCAACACUGAUUCCUGAUACUACAGCCUUAUAUUACAGCAUUUCAUAUAGGUCCCUCUAUCUGCCUUCCCUCCCACACCGUUUAGACACUUGAAGAUAAGUGAGCCCUAAAGCAUGGGUCUCCUCACAUGAGUAUGGUCAUAGUAACCUUGUCUAACUGGCACUCUGUCCUACAGGGGUCUGGAGUUGAGGACAGAUCCUAAGAAAAUCCUGUUCCUUUAUUCCUUAUAGGGGCCCAGAAAAUAGGAGUCAAAUCUGGAAGUUUCCAACUCCCACUAUCAGCUCAUCACAUCUCUAGCAACCUUGCCGCAGCCUUGCAGGAAAAUAGGGGACCUUGUGGGCAGCCUAAGCAGGCUAGUGGGUGGACGGGGGUGGAGGAUGGUUCCCACCCCCCCCCAAGCCGCACUGCACUGGACUUCAGUGUCCUGGCAUGAAACCUCAAUGAAAAAGGAAGGGCUAAAGGCAUCAGCACUCCACUGGUCUUAAAGCAGCACCUUACAAGAGGAUGAACAAGUAUGAUACUUUGUACUUGCUAGGCUGGUCAGUGUGUUCAAAGUACUUUUACACUCAUUAUCUCAUUUGAGUCUAACAAUGACUUAUGAGCUGGGUAGGGCAGGCUUUAUAACAUAUCCACUAGGCUGCAGAAUUACACAUGAGAUGAGGAUCACAGAACUGUAAGGGCCCUUGGAGGUGAUCUAGGACAAAUUCCCUCAUUUCACAGAAGUGGAAACUUUAGCCCAGACAGGAAAAGUGAUUGGCUUGAGGUCAGACCACUUGGUCAUAACAGCAGUGGCACAGUGGCAAAGAGUUCUGGAGUUCUGAGCAGAAGGCCUGGGUCUGAAUUUCCAUUCUACUCUCCUUUGUGACUGGGGGCACAUUUACUUAUCUCUGGGCCUUUUCCACUACUCAAACUUAGGGAAAAUGGGAUCCAUGACCAACCAGACUCUAGAAUAUAAACCUAAUGGAUCUGACUUUCUAGAGAAGUCACCCAUUGAUCUCUAGGACUUCCUGCCUCUUAGACAUCAACUGUGAGGGCUUUGGGACCAUUUGAUAAGCUAUCAAUAAUUCUGCCAUUUCAAAAUAAAGGAACCACUUAUUUACCAAUUGUUCUGAGCUGAAAACCUUAAAGUUGGUAGCACACAGCUGUUGUUCAGAAGACCCCUGGAGCAUUUUAAAUGCCCCUCAGAUAUUUAUGUUGAAAGACUGUAGAGAUAGAGGCAGAAAUGAAUUUUUUUCCUUGGGAAAUCCAGAAAGGCAGUUCUUGAGGUCUUCACUCUUUCACUAAGACCCCACACGAGUUCUGGAUACCAAAUACUAUCAUCUAUAUGGAUCCAACCAAACAUAUGAUAAUGCUUGCAAUAAUCAUGCUGCUGAAGUUUUCCCCAAACUUGGAACAUGAUCACCAUUCAAACAAAAAAUUAACAAAACAUUGUACUAGAGUUAAAGAAUUAUUCAAUGAUGCCUGAAACCUGGGCAAAGGAAGAAGAAAAUAUGAAGCUGACCAGAGAUGGAAAUCAUCAACUUGCUCACAUGGGGCUUUUCUGUAAGCAAAGAAAAUCUUUUGAAUAAACCAUGUUCCUCCACUGAA
Non-coding RNA from Phascolarctos cinereus (koala), 2308 nucleotides. NCBI's taxonomy places the organism in Eukaryota, Metazoa, Chordata, Mammalia, Diprotodontia, Phascolarctidae. The record is from RefSeq and is a predicted model, not a curated record.